This 526-nucleotide ribosomal RNA is filed under the name uncultured eukaryote. RNAcentral's name for it is "SSU rRNA". It matches the Rfam family "Eukaryotic small subunit ribosomal RNA", at positions 75 to 604 of the family's 1831-position model. The record is from RNAcentral.
UAUACAGCGAAACUGCGAAUGGCUCAUUAUAUAAGUUAUCGUUUAUUUGAUAGUGCCUUACUACUUGGAUAACCGUGGUAAUUCUAGAGCUAAUACAUGCUAAAAACCCCGACUUCGGAAGGGGUGUAUUUAUUAGAUACAAAACCAAUGCCCUUCGGGGCUCUUUGGUGAUUCAUGAUAACUAUACGAAUCGCACGGCCUUGCGCCGGCGAUGGUUCAUUCAAAUUUCUUCCCUAUCAACUUUCGAUGUUUGGGUAUUGGCCAAACAUGGUUGCAACGGGUAACGGAGGGUUAGGGCUCGACCCCGGAGAAGGAGCCUGAGAAACGGCUACUACAUCCAAGGAAGGCAGCAGGCGCGCAAAUUACCCAAUCCCGACUCGGGGAGGUAGUGACAAUAAAUACUGAUACAGGGCCCUUUCGGGCCUUGUAAUUGGAAUGAGUACAAUUUAAAUCCCUUAACCAGGAACAAUUGGAGGGCAAGUCUGGUGCCAGCAGCCGCGGUAAUUCCAGCUCCAAUAGCGUAUAU